UGUUUUUGAGGUGUGAGCACUACAGAGUUUUUCGAUGUUUACCCCAGAUAUUAAUUUUUCUCCUCUGAACAACAACGAAAACAUCGCUGCAGGUAUUAACUGGGCGGGCUGUGGCCCGUCUAGCCCUAGCCAGAUAUCUAGCCCAGAUAUUAAUUUUUUUCAAGCUGAAAAUGGCUAUCCCAACUAUACUUUUUUUUAGGAAUACCCAGGCAAGGUCAAGUUGUUAUUCUCCGCCCCGCUGGGCUGCAAGUCUUUCCUACGAGGGAUGCAUUAGGCUUAACAAGAAAAUGGGCUUGAAGAAAUAAUAAAUGGGAUAUAAUUAUAAAAACUGGGUAGUAACUAUAAAAAAUGCACCAAACAGUGAUUACUUUAUAAAAUACUAUUUUUGGAAUAUUGAAAUUUUUAAUUUCAUUAAUUGUUGCGAGCGCAAUGUUUCGUUGGAUUUUUACCCAAUAUAAAUUUAUAUUGAAAUUGAAUUUAAUCUGACUAGAAAUUUUGGGAUAAAAAUAUUCGGAACCCAUCAAAAUGUGGGAAAUUUUAUUGAAUUCUGUUUUGAACGGUUGGUUGAAAUGGGUUGUACUUUUAACAAACUGUAAAUGGGUUGUAGUAAAUUCCAUUAGAAUUCAAAAAUGGGAUACACAUUCUUACAAAUCUCAAAUGGGCUAUAAGUUCUCUGCCACACACUUCUGGCCUUACUAAGUUGACGCGUCCCCUAAAAAAACAGAGUUGACGCAUAUGCAAGGCUUUGUCAACUUAUAGACAACACACGGUUCUAGCAGCAAUGGCCGUUGGAUGUCCAUCCAACGGAUGUCGUGCUUCUUCUUCAAUCUCGGAUAUUCUAGCUUCACCCGCCCAAAAAAUGAUUCAUCCCCCUGACAUCUGGGGCGCACCGUUUCGGAAGCUGACCUGUGGGCCUACUAAGUUGACGUACCAAGGGCUUUGUCAACUUAGUCAAUAUAAACGAUUCUACCUGCAGUGACCGUACGAUGUCCAUCCAACAGUCGUCGUGCUUCUUCAACCUCUGGUCUUCUUGCUCCAGCCGCCCAAAGCAGCGCCGAUCAUGCCGCCUGCUCCUGCCUCCCGUGGCCGUCUGUGCUGCCGUGGAGGCCUCACCGCCCCCUACUACUCCCACCACUGGCCAGGCCGUCCCUCCACUCACUCACACCCCCUGUUAUUCUGCGGCGACGGCAGCACAGCCGAACUAGUGAACCCUCGUACUGCUCUCCGCGUGUGCAUCCACUGCCGCGUCUUCCCCGGAUCCGCGUCGUCCCCUUCCUAGGCCUCGCCGUCGUCCACCGCCGUGGUGCUCUCGGUGCGGCGUGGUCAACGUGGUCAAGGAACGACUUCCAUCGGACGUGGACUGUACGUGGAGAGGCUGACAGCUCGGUCCACGCCAGCUGCAUGGAAGUGCCUCCUUAUUACGCGCAAAAUAAUUAUUCCUCCACCUGACAGCGGGGACGCACCGGACGGGCCACCGUAUUUCGCAAAAAAAAUGAUUCGCCCCCUGACUGCUGGGACCCACGAGCUACAUCUUCGCACGCAAGGAAGUGCGCCCGAAAAAAAAUGAUUCGCCCCCUGACUGCUGGGACCCACCAGCUACAUCUUCGCACGCAAGGAAGUGCGUCCGAAAAAAAUAAUUCGCCCCCCGACUNNNNNNNNNNNNNNNNNNNNNNNNNNNNNNNNNNNNNNNNNNNNNNNNNNNNNNNNNNNNNNNNNNNNNNNNNNNNNNNNNNNNNNNNNNNNNNNNNNNNNNNNNNNNNNNNNNNNNNNNNNNNNNNNNNNNNACCAGCUACACCUUUGCAUGCAAGGAAGUGCGUCCGGGCAAAAAAAAUGAUUCGCCCCCCUGACUGCUGGGACCCAGCAGCUACACCUUCGCACGCAAGGAAGUGCGUCCGGGCAAAAAAAACGAUUCGCCCCCUGACUGCUGGGACCCAGCAGCUACACCUUCGCACGCAAGGAAGUGCGUUCGGGCAAAAAAACGAUUUGCCCCCCUGACUGUUGGGACCCACCAGCUACAUCUUCGCAGGCAAGGAAGUGCCUGACAGUCGGGACCCACCUGGUCGAAGCGUACGUAGCGUUGUCAUCCUGGUCGCGAACAUGUAUGUACAUACUGGUCGAUGUAGAGGCGCACACGUGUCAUAGUAGAGGCGCACACGUGUCGUAGUAGAGGCGCGCACGUAGCAUGUACACGUACGUACAGCAGCCAGGGUGCAAGAAAGAAAAUAUGGCCAUGUAUGUGUACAUACGGGCGGGGUCUCGAACGCCUAGUCGCGCAUACGUAUGGCGAGGGCUCAUGUUCAUGGGGAGGCAACAGAAUGCGUCGUGUUCAUGGGGAGGCAACAGAAUGCGUCGUGUUCAUGGGGAGGCAACGGAAUGCGUCGUGUUCAUCGGGAGGUAAUGGAAUGCGUGGGAGCCAACCGGCUUGGACGGAACAAGCGAUGGAAACGAGGCCUGGCAUACCGCACAACAGAGGAAAUGUACCUCCAACGUUUGGAGCAGAGUCCUGUUCAUCGGGAGGGGUGUGGCGUACCGCAAAACGGAGGAAACGGACCUCCUACAGUCGAAACAGGGGUCUUGUUGAUCGGGAGGGGUGUGGCGUACCGCAAAACGGACAAAAUGGACCUCCUACGGUCGAAACGGGGGUCCUGUUGAUCGGGAGGGGUGUGGCGUACCGCAAAACAGACGAAACAGACUUGUGUCGGANNNNNNNNNNNNNNNNNNNNNNNNNNNNNNNNNNNNNNNNNNNNNNNNNNNNNNNNNNNNNNNNNNNNNNNNNNNNNNNNNNNNNNNNNNNNNNNNNNNNNNNNNNNNNNNNNNNNNNNNNNNNNNNNNNNNNNNNNNNNNNNNNNNNNNNNNNNNNNNNNNNNNNNNNNNNNNNNNNNNNNNNNNNNNNNNNNNNNNNNNNNNNNNNNNNNNNNNNNNNNNNNNNNNNNNNNNNNNNNNNNNNNNNNNNNNNNNNNNNNNNNNNNNNCUUGUGUCGGAGCGCUAUGGUCGAAACGGGGGUCUUGUUCAUCGGGAGGGGUGUGGCGUACCUCAAAACGGGACUCCACGGGCUACUGUUCAUCUCCACCGUCGACCUCCUCCAGCCUCCACGGGCUACCGUCGACCUCCUCCAGCCCCCACGGGCUCCAGUUCAUCUAGCCUCCACCGCGCGCUACUCCACCGGCUACUAUUCAACCACCCCUCCACCGUCUACUGUUCAUCCAGUCCUCCACCAUCUACUGUUCAUCCAGCCCUCCACACCACGGGGGCCUGUUCAACCACCCCUCCACGACCACCCUUCCAUCGUCUACUGUUCAUCCAGCCCUCCACACCACGGGGUCCUGUUCAUCCAGAGGCAACGCCACCGCUCACUGUUCAUCCAACCCCCCCGGCAACGCUCACUGUUCAUCCAAUCGAUCGGCUUCAGUUAGCAGCAGUAGCGAAGGAAUCGCUCCAUCAGGUUCAGUUAACAACCAUCGAUCGAUCGCUCGGGUUCAGUAACGCAUAGCCUGUAGUGCAAUCGUUCGGGUUCAGUUAGAGCCCAACGCCUCACUCGGGUUCAGUUAGAGCCAAUGCCUCGCACGUGUAUGAGAGAAAUGUGCAUCGCUCGGCCCCCGACCUCCCACCGUAACUAGCAACUCCCCGAAAUUUUCCUCCCCCUCGCUUCUACCACGGUUUUUUCCGUCAUGGACGGCCCAAAGAAUGUCAUGCAGCUGCGUCUCCGGCCCACCCAGGACGAAAAGCCAAUUUUCUGUCAUGAUUUUUUGUCAUCUCCACUCCUAAUGCAGCAGUUGGUAGUCUCCACCGGUCAAUUUUCGUCCCACCACUUUCGUCCGUUUUUUUCUGUAGGUUAACCUUCGUAGAUUUUUUCUCGCCCACCUCCGACCAUCCCGUGCAAGACCAAAAAAAACAUACGCCACCAUCCGUCUCUCGAUCCACCCGAUGCGGCCGCCCUAUCUCCCUCGUCUAGCGAUGCAGCGCCGCCCCAAUCUCCCUGCUCCGCUGCCGCCGCCCCAAUCUUCCCGCUCCGCCGCCACCGCCCCAAUCUCCCCACUCCACCGUUGUCGCCCCCCACCUUCCACUAUCACCCGCUCAGCCACCUCCACCCUCCUCUACAUCGCCCGAGGAACGGGCUCACCUGGCGCGCCGCCUCGAGGCCGCGCUCGAGCAGGUGAGGAGGGAGUCGGUGCGGCAGGGCGCGGCGCUGGACGAGCUGAGGCGGCGGCUCGAGGGACGGCGGGCGCGCGCGGACGAGCUCCUCGUCACCAGGCGGAGGGCCGCCGAGGGCGUCGAGCGCUGCAAGGAGCAGAUGCAGGCGCAGAUCGAGCGGGUGCUGCCACUCUCCAGGGCCCUCGCCGCCGCACACCGGCAAGUGCAGGUACCUGCUUGCCCGCCCAUUUCUUCCUCUCAGCGCGAGACUGGAAUGCUUUGGCUAUUGUGGUUGCGUGCGUUUGGUCCAAUAGCAUCUGUGUAUGUGUUGCGCUGUGUGCGUGUGUGCUCUGCAUAUGGAGUGGAUCUAGCAGUGGCCGCGUCCUGCAUCGAAGAUGCGGCUAGGAAUUAGAGAGAUGGGAGAGAGGAGGAAGGGACCGGGGAUGGGCCCAGCGAUGCGGCGACGCUUGCGGAGGCUGGCUGGCGGCUGAGUCACACGGCAACGGCGACGUGCGUGUGGCAUCCUCCCUGGUGGGGCGAGUAGGAAGGAGGAGGUGCACGGGAGGCGUAGGCGCUGUGGCCUAUCUACAGGUUAGUUAAUCUUUGUUGUUAUUAUCCUUAGUGUGAUUUCUACUAACUAUUUCUCUACUCUAUUCUCUGGGCUUGAAGAGGUGGACUACAGUAAUAGGGGAACUGGAACAAGCGCCGGAAGCGGCCAUGAACAUAGAUGCACAGUUCUGCGAGGAAGAAACCAGGGUGUACAGAGGAAGGGAGAUCUCACCCAGGUCUCCGAGCUAUUGACUGGGAAGAUGAACCCCGGGCAGCCAGGCUGGACUAGUUUAAAAGUAACCCGUAAAACUUACUGAUUUUAAUUCACUUGGUACACGUCAUCAGUGAUUCAGUACGUGAUAUCUGUAUUGAGUGUACUAGCAGUCUACAGAUAGAUUUGCGUCUGUAUGCUGAGCUUUUUCUGAGGAUAAUGAUUUUUUGAUUGAAUCCAAUAUAAGGUAACUAAUAGAAAUACAAUAGUACUACUAAUGACAGUCUCACUGUUGGGAAGUUUUUUGAUGGAUAUUUAGUCGAGGCAGCUAUUUCUACCAUGGAAUAAUUGCAAUUUAGCUAUGUGACGCCGAUGAAUUAUAUAAAGUUUAUAAAUGCAUGUAUGUCGAUUUAAUUUAACGGACAUGGUCUUUUAUGUUGAUUUCAGUUGAGCAGUAGGAAACAUUUGUGCAGAGUAAGGAUUGCAUCAGCGGCACCAUGCCCUUCUCGGGCGAAAACUCUUGAUAAAGCGAUAAGGGGAUUCGCUGACUAUCCAAUACAUAAUGUGAUUGUACCGGUGCUGGGGACAAGUUUUGACUCUUUAUGAGAGAGACGUGUGGUUUUUACAACCUAUUCUCUUGGGAGAAAGGUUUUGGGAUCAGAUAUUGGAAAAGCAGGUCAAUUGUUGAGAGGACAAAAUUUAAUUAUGAAAUAGUGUGUCGAUAUGUAGUGAGUUUUAUUUCAUUGCGACAUAUUUUAGUUUUUGGACAGUGUGGGGGGGUGUGUGAGUUGAGCACUGAGAAGCAUUUUUUCCCAUGUUGACAACGUGCAGGGUGAAGCAGGUGUGUAGAACACACGAUCUUGCCGAUGUGAGUACCCUGCUCUAAUAAAUUGCUUAGAUCAGAGCACAGGGGUUAAGAAGUACAUGAGACUGCGGUUUGAUAGUGAGUCUGAGGAGAACUAUGUCGAGGAGAUGACAAGAAUUGUACGCUGAUUUUUUAUGAAAGAAAUACAUACUUGUUGUUGCGUGUGGAUGUCAUUUUUAUUAGUAGAACUAUUGAGUUUUACUAAAUGAUUUGCAUCUAACUGUUAUAGGGAAGACCACUAAUGAGAGCUAACCUGGCCACUUGAAUGGGAUGCGAUCAAGACAUACACAAGGGCUAUGUUUGACGAAAAUUGGCUCUUGUAUGAGUGUGGAGCAUACCAAAGUUGAAGAGAUUGAGAAACACAAGUCGUGUCCUGAAGGUAUGAUCUUGUGCGUUUUGCUCACUGUUUAUGUGUAUGCAGCAGAAUAUAUCAGUUUGUGUGAGAGAGUGAACUUACUUUAGUGAUAAAUAAUGGCAGGUGCUCGACUUCAUACAUGUGAAGCAAGUCCGUAUGAAGAAUAUAAUGAAGAGGUGGACAAAGGAUGCUCACAACAUAGGAACCAUUGGCAUAUAAUCCCUUCUCCUACAUGCACUUCAGAAUGUGCAUAGAGCUUGUUCAGCUUGGGGACGCAAAUUUUCAUAUGUACGAUUGUCUGGUUUAUUUGUUGAAGGCAAAUUUGGUGGACAUGAAACCUUUUGCCAAGGUGAGAGAUGGGCUUGGUUUGGAAGACCGGCUUGCUGAAAAUGGAGUAGUUGUCAAGCUGUUGAGAAUAAUACAUAGUAUGUGUAGAUCGCAAAACUCAAGAGCAUCCGGCAAAUUCUGGUAGUGGUGACAAUGUUUCAGUAAUAUACCAGACAACAGGUUAGCAUAACCAUCAGCGCCAGGCUGCCAGCUACAAGGAAAUAGAUUGAUUGGCCAUUGACCAGCAGGGAGAAAGCCCCUUAGGAAGCUUUCAGUAAGAGGACAGUUUUCUACAGCAUUUGCUGCCGCCAUGGUCACAAAAGGACUACAUGGACAGACAGAGGUGAUGCUCCAAAACAUCUUGCAAACCAGGCAGGUGCAAUAGCUAUGGCGUCGAGGGACACAAAAGGAAUUUUUUUACCAAGCCCAUAGAAUUUAGAUUGUCAGCGGAAACUAAAAUGAGUGCAAAUUAUGAGACCCUUUUUUGGUUAGUAGUUAGUGUUACUUUAUCAAUACUCAAGUCAAGAUUCUUUCUGAUGGUGACCAUGGGAUCGAGAGAACUCUUUAGGUGACGGAGAAGUUUGAUAUGAGCCUCUAAGGUAUUCUUCUACCUAGCCGAAAAUGAUGGUCUUUUAGAGGUUAUCCUGGCGGAUCAUAGGAAUAUUUAUUUUGCUUUCUUUUUUAAUUUUACAGGUUGACGAUUCUAAUGUUAUUGGAUUUCUGCUUCCAACUGAAAUAAUUCCUUUAUAUCUGAGUACUAUUACUAUGGAGAUUGGCUGUGAACUUACCAUAAUAGUAUGAACUCCUUCUCUGAAUUUAAUUCUUCUAUGAUGCUUUCCAAAGCCGAUGAUGACCAUGCUGUGGACCCACAUGGUGGAGGAAGGGGAUGCCCGAGACUGAGACGAUGACGGUGCUCGCGACGCACAGCUGCGGGACUGGACAACAGAGCCAAACACUCCCUUGGAUUUGUCGUGAUUCUAGAACAGGAGGCAGGUCGUUGCAGGUCGUUGCCGCUACCGCCCAUGAAGUUGACGAUGAUCACGUGGCUGUCGUGCGGCGGCGAGGUGGUGGUUGUGGAGGGGAAGAGGGAGGCGAGGGGAGACGCGCGGGCGAAAACUCGCACGGCGGAGGAAGGGGAUGCCUCAGGUGGUGACGGUCAUGACGGGCACUAGAUUGUCAUAUGUUAUUUGCAUAUAAAUGAUACAGGGGACCCUGGUGAGUUGUUUAGAUUUCUCUGGUGAGUUGUUUAGAUUUCUCCCCGCUCAUGUCUGAAUGGUCGGUUUAGUUCCUGAAUUGUAGCUUCCCAGGUAUGUUGGGCAAUUCACAGUUGUACACGUUUGAUAGUGUAUUGAUGCCCUGACAACUAUGUAACGAGUGCAUGUUGUUCAAGUGCUGAUCUUCACUGAUUUUUUUCUGUUACCAUUUGUCAUGUAGGAAUUCUUCAUUUUGUAAUUUGGAGUAGUGAACGAAAUUUCUAGGGAAUCACAUGCACUAUUUUUGUAGCUUGAAUAAUUCGCUAUGUUCUAAUUUGAAAAUAUGUUGGCCAAUCGUUUGAUAUGCUGUCUGUUGCAUAUUGUUCGAAGAUGGGUUGCAUCUCUUUCUAAACUGCAAACAAGUGAAGGGCAAUGGUAUGCCUUGCUGCUGGAGGAAAUCCGGAACAAGCUAACACAGUGGUGGCGCCAGGUGUCUUCCAUGGACUUCCAUGGGAUACCAAAGAAUUGCUAAUCCAUUGGUAUACUACUGCUAGUUUGUUGUAUAUUUGUUGAUAUAUUGCUAUAAAAUUGCACAAAUGAAUACCAAGGAAGAAAUUCCUGGCGCUGCCACUGAGCUAACAGAGUGUAAUUCAGCGGAUGACAUCAUGAGAAAAAUUCUGAGGUUGUGGAGAAGGAUAAGUUGCUCACUAUUUGCUCAAUUGUGGUGCUCGUGGCAUGAACGUAACAAGGUGAACCAUGGAGAACGACGGUGCAAGAAUUUCAGGUCAAUGUCAGGCGACAUGUGGAUGAGUGGCUUGAGUUCCUGAAACCCAAAGAAGCUGCUGCUACUACUACAUAUGUAGAAGUUGGGUGAAACCGUCACAAGAGUUUGUGAAGAUAAACAUUGAUGCGUCCUUUAUUGAGGACACCAGGGCAGGGGGUGUGGGAUUAUAUGCAGGGAUGGCACUCCAACGACUUUGUUUGCGGCGGCUGGACAUAUAAACUCUCUGAGUGAUGCACUGCAUGCUGAAGUAUAUGUGUUUAUAUGUUCACUUUAGAUCUUCAGAUGCUGCUUUCAAAAUGUUGAUUGACAAAGCUUCAUAAUAUACUGGACCCAAAACUCGUCGAGUUUUACAAAAUGAGAAGAGAUGCAUACAAAUAAUUAUUCUUCUUUAUAUAUUUCUUGCACAUGAUAAUACAAAUAGUGUAUUUCUAUAUAUUUCUAUUUUUGCGGAGUAUGAGAAGGAAUCCAUUAAUAAGAAUGUCGAGGAGAUGUCGUUGAAAGAGCCAAAAAAAUCAUCGAGUUUUAUACAACAAUACAUAUACACACACAAUCAGAACAAAAUUAAAGGCCCGUGGCAACGCACGGGCAUUCUACUAGACUACGCAUCACGAAGUGGAUUUCAAAAGAAAAUCUUAUGGGCUAUCAUUUUUAUACACACGACAUUUGACAUGCAUUAUGUUCAUAUAUGCAACCAACAGUUUUUGCAUUCGGUGUGUUUAUUAUUUUUUUGUACAUGACAAUGCACAAGCAUUGAACUAACUGUAUGAAAGGAAACCAUUUCAAUUCCCCGUUUCCAAGAACAAGGAAUUCUUAUGUAUUGGAACACAUACGCUUGGAGGACUUUACGGGGAGAGAGCGACAAUAUUACUCGAAUACGGAUGUGCCAAUUGCAAAGACUUUACGGUGAUAUAGAAGCAUUCCUCUGUUUGUUAACUCAUAUUCAGACUCUCUAAUAUAUGCAGGCAGUAUGAUCAAUAACUGUCAAAGAGUAAUAUGACGUUCUCAAAUUGCCAAGAUAUGCAGGAGACUUUGUAACAAAAGCUGCAAUCUCUAUGUAGCUAUUUACUUCACUUAAUGAAUUCACUUCAUGACAGGACAUGGUGUGUCGUGCAAGAUUGUUGUUUAAUUUAUUUACCUUGCUUUGUGGAUUGAUGUAGUGUGAACAGUUAAUUCAAAAAAACUUUAUCACAAAUGAGAAAUAAGAUUGCUUUUCUUUAGCUUAAUACAUGUGUCUACUUCCUAAUAUCAAAUUAGACUUUAGUGUUAUUUUAUUCCAAUGAAGAAACAUGACCCUGCCCCAUUGAACUUCAUGUCCUACGGUCAAGAUGGAGACUUUGUUCUCUCUUCAUUUGGACUGUCUCAUAUAGAAGAAAUUGCAGCAUUGUGAUAUCAAAUAAUUAUCCACUAAUUGAUCAAUGGAAUUGCUGAAGUGUAUGAUAGAUCUGCAAUUUAAAUUAUGCAUUAUAGCCCAUAGCAACACACGGGCGUUCUACUAGUAGAAGUAGGAGCCCACCACAUCUAUGAUGAUACCGGGUUUUGUCACAAUUAUCGUCAUAGAAGUGUCAUAUGUAUGACAGGAAAAAAUUUCGUUUGGCCCAAAAUGUCACGGAUGUGUCUUUUUUUUGUAGUGAUCUAGAUUGUUAUCUCCUGUGCCAGCAUCGCUAUUUUUGCUAUGGCGGGGCUUGGAGCGGCGCCGAUGACGCCGGUGUCUGGAUUGCUUCCCCAAGGGGUUAUCUUCCAUUGCCUCAUCACCAUUGUUUUGUUUGGGGGUGUCCACCAUAUAAAUAUCAUAUGAUGAGGUGGCGGUCCAGCGCCCUGUAGGCGGUGGUUCCUGUUCUUCUCCUGCAUCGUUGUCCAUGCCGUCGAUGUCUUCGGAGUCGAAGUCAAGCACGUCGGUUAAAUCAUCGACAUUGGCUAUAAAGUGGGUGGUGGGUGGGGGACAAAUUUCUUCGUCGUCCGCUCCCCACUCGAGCCGGACAUAGUUCGACCAAGAAUCUCCUGACAAGGACAGAGACCUUAAUGAGUUCAGCACGUCACCCAAGGGUGAGUAGUGAAAAAUAUCCGUGGCGGUGAACUCCAUGACAGGUGCCCAAUCUGAUUCUAUAUGCGCGGACGCACGCGGUUCGGAUCCUGCAACCGGGGAAGAGCCCGGGGGUCCGAUGACACCAACCUCACAGGAGGCGGGUUCGGUGUUCGACUCCGCCGCUGAUGAGUGUGCGGCCUCCGUGGCGGGGUCCAUCCACCCAUCCUCAGAAGGCACGAUCUGCUCCGGGUUGAUUCCCGGCGCCAAUGCGGGUGCGAUUUCCCGAAUACUGUCUGAUGGCAGAUCAAAGUCAUGCCCGUUGUGACUGUUCGGCACACCUGUCAUGGGCUCGAAUUCGUCGAAGAUCAAGUCUCCGCGGAUGUCGACAGUAUAGUUUAAGCUUCCAAACCUAACCUGAUGGCCAAGGGCGUAGCUGCCGAUCUGCUCCAGAUGGCCAAGCGAGUUGGCCCACAGUACGAAGCUGCCAAAUACGAAGAUCUGUCCAGGAAGGAAAACCUCCCCCCUGGACCGCAUCAUUGAAGAUGAUCGAGGGAGCCAUCAAGCCUUAUCGCGAUGGCACAGUGGAACUCUCAAUGAAAGCACCAAUGUCAGUGUCAAAACCGGCGGAUCUCGGGUAGGGGGUCCCGAACUGUGCGUCUAAGGCUAAUGGUAACAGGAGGCAGGGGACACGAUGUUUUACCUAGGUUCGGGCCCUCUCGAUGGUGGUAAUACCCUACUUCCUGCUUGAUUGAUCUUGAUGAUAUGAGUAUUACAAGAGUUGAUCCACCACGAGAUCAUAGAGGCUAAACCCUAGAAGCUAGCCUAUGAUUAUGAUUGUUAUUGUCCUACGGACUAAACCCUCUGGUUUAUAUAGACACCAGAGGAGGCUAGGGUUACACAGAGUCGGUUACAGAAAAGGAGAUCUACAUAUCCGAAUAUCCAAGCUUACCUUCCACGCAAAGGAGAGUUCCAUCCGGACACGGGACAAAGUCUUCAAUCUUGUAUCUUCAUAGUCCAACAGUCCGGCCAAAGUAUAUAGUCCGGCUGUCCGAGGACCCCUUAAUUCAGGACUACCUCAGUGGCUCCUUCUUGUGAAACACGAUAAUUCUUUCUCCCUCUCCAAAUAUGUGUUUUAUAGUAUCAUGAUUGGAGUGUGCGGGCCACCAGGUGGGGACAACCCACCUGGGCGCACCUAGAGGGGGGCGCGCCCUGGUGGGUAGUGCCCACCCAGGUGCCACCUCCGGUGGUGCUUGACUCCAGAAAUUCUCUCUUAUUGCAUUAAAAUUCCUCGCAAAGUUUUGUUCCAAUCCGAGAACUUUUAUUUCUGCACAAAAAACAACACCAUGGUAGUUCUGCUGAAAACAGCGUCAGUCCGAGUUAGUUUCAUUCAAAUCGUGCAAAUUAGAGUCCAAAACAAGAGAAAAGGCAUUAGGAAAAGUAGAUACGACAGAGACGUAUCAACUCCCCAAGCUUAAACAUUUGCUUGUCCUCAAGCAAUUCAAUUGAUAAACUGAAAGUGAAAAAGAAAAACUUUUAUGAACUCUUUUGCUCUUGUUUACAUAAAUAAGCAUAGGUAGCACCCUGGUUUUCGGAAAAUAUUAUAACUAACCAUGUCGACAAUAACUCCUAAAAAUUAUAUUAACUCAUAUCAAUGGCAUAAUCAACUAGCGAGCAAUAAUAAGAUAUCUCAAAGAACAACACUUUGUCAAAACAACCAUGAUAUAAUAUGAGAAUAGUGGUAUCUCGCUAGCCCAUUCUGAGACUGCAAAACACAAAUGCAAAGCACCCCCAAAGUUCAAGAAGCGACUAAACAUUGUAAUCCUGGGUAGAAAAGAUCCAACCAUGAUGCACCCAACAUUAGUUAUACACAAUGCAUGAGGAUGAAAAUAGUGCUCUCAGGUUCUGGCGCUUAUUAUAGAAGGUGAUGACACAACAUAAAAGUAAAUAGAUAGUCCCUUCGCAGAGGGAAGCAGUGAUUUGUAGAGGUGCCAGAGCUCAAGUUUUUUAAAACAAAGGUAAAUGAAAUUUUGAGAAAUGCACCCUUCUUGUUUACUUCGCGACCAUUAGUUAUCAGUAUCUUCCAUUCUAAACACAUUAGUGGCGGUUCCCAAGAAAUAAAAGUAAAGGUUUACUCCCCUUCCACCAACAAUCACACUCCACGGCUUGUCCGAAACAACGGGUGUCUUCCAUACCAACAACUGUCCUGCAGGAGUUUUGUUUAAUUAUUUGCAAUUUGAGUUCGGGACUGGGAAUCCCUAUUACCGCCCCUCUCGUGCAAGGACGAGUGAAUAAACACUCAUCAUGAGAAUAACCCGCUUAGCAUGGAAGAUACUGACUACCUCAUGUCGCUCUAUGAAUAAUCCAAGCACACAAAAAGGAUAUUUAUUUGAAGUUUUUUAGAGGUGGCACAUGCAAAUUUACUUAGGACGGCAGGGUAAUACCGCAUAUAGGUAGGUAUGGUGGACUCAUCUGGAAUAACUUGGGUUUCAUGGUUUUGAUGCACAAGCAGAAUUCCCACUUAGUACAGGAGAAGGCUAGCAAAUGGGUUGAGGAGCGGCCAGCUAGAGAGCAAAAACGGUCAUGAACAUGCAUUAUGCAUAAGUAACAUUGGAUACUAGCAUGAGUAGGAUAUGAACACCAUGAACAUAAAUAUCAUAGAGGCUAUGUUGGUUUUGAUUCAACUACAUGCAUGAACAUGUGCCAAGUCAAGCCACUCAAACAUUCAGAGGAGGAUACCAUACCAUCAUACUACAUCACAAUCAUUCUAACGCAAUGUUGACAUCCAAGAUAAAUCAUUAUCUACUCCUAGCUACUUAAGCAUGGCAUGAGAAACUAUAAUCUCUAAGGGCAUUGCAAACAUGUUUGAUAAUAAUAAGCUGAAUCAUGGAUACUAGGUUAAACAUAUUUACAAAAACAGAACAAGUUGAGUUUGUACCCGUUUCUCUCUACCACAGUCAGUUCAUCAAAUAUCGUCAUUAUUGCCUUUCACUUGCACGACCAAACGAUAUGAAAGUAAUAAUAGUGCAAGAGUGUCAUGGACUAAGCUGGAAUCUGUUGGAUUUCAGGCUCCGCAGACCCAAGAAAGGUUCGAACUCUACGGCGUGUGUGAAGAACUCAACCUCCCAGGCUAGCCAACUCGCUGCUCUCAUGGCCUCUCUCGAUGAACAGGAAAGGAAAUGAGCACAACAGUUUACCCAGGUUCGGGCCACCAUGCGGUGUAAAACCCUACUCCUGCUUUGUGGUGGAUUAGCCUCGUGGGGGCUGAGUAUGAACUAGUACAAGGCUGAACGACCUCGUGAGGUCUGCUCUAUGGGUGGAAUGAGCUCAAGGAGUUUGACCUCUGGGGGUCCGAUCCCUCCUAUGGUGGUGGCUAGACUAUACUUAUAGUGGCCUCGGUCCUCUUCCCCCAAAACUUAGGCGGGAAGGGAUCCCAUAGUGGCCAAUUUUGAAGGGGAACAAGUAGUACAUCUUAUCCUGACAAAAGGUGGUCUUUGCCUGCAAAGCUUCUGGUCGUGACGUAAUGGUGGGCUCGAUGAUGACAUCCAUCCUGUCAUUCUGGCGGUCGUGGUCUUGUUGCACGCAAACGGUAACCUUUGGUUGAUUCCUUGGGACUCUACGCCGGCGGUUGCCUCCUUAGAACCAAAGAGGAAACCUGCCACUCUGCGCCCACUAGCGUGCGCCUGGCCUUGGUCAUCAUGGCUGGCGUCACCUCAGCCUCAUGAGGUGAGUGCUUGCAUAGAAAUAUCCGCUCCUCAGGAGGUCGCCUGGGGAAGCCGCUCCUUCACGAGGUCUUGGUGUCGUCCGCCUCGUGAGGCUUGGUCACUCGCGAGGGUCUUGACUUGUCGUUGUUGAAGAUGGGCCAUACCAGGCCGCCAAGGGAGCCACGCCAGGGGCCGCAGGCAGGCAAGUUUGCGUACCCUGGUUCCCAGAACACCGACAGAAUAUGCAAACAUUUUAUUCAAAAAGAAGAAAACAAGGUAAUAUGUGCUCUUUGUUAGAUCAAUAAUAAUGCAUAUGAGAGUCAUAUUUUUCAUCUUGGUAUUCUCCUUGGUACAACUCAAUAAAAAGAAAAGAAAUUCAGAGAAACACAUUGAAAUGUUUUUGGAGUUUUUGGUUUUUAUCUGAGAAGAAACAAAUUAAGGAAAGAAAAACAAAAACGAGAAAAACUAUUUACACGGGAGAGCUGCCAACAAGCAAAAGAAGAACAAGGAAAUAUUUUUGGGUUUUCUUUUUAAAACUACAACUAACUACACUAGAAAGAAAAAUAACAAAGAAGCAAGAAAUAUAUUUUUUUGUACUUUCUCGAAGUUUUUCAAACACACAAGAAGGCGAGAAAAUAAAUCUAGCAUGGAUAAUACAAUUAAAAAGUGUGGACACCGACAACUGGAAUGAAAUGUGUGAACAUAAAAGCAAUGUCAGUGGAAAUACACACUCCCCCAAGCUAAGGCUUUUGGCCUAACUUGGUAAUCACCACUCGAAGAAACCAUGGGGUCCUAUGUUGAAGUGCUGGGGAGCGGGCACCUGAGUGUCCCACUCCUGAGGCUCCCCCCUCUGCUGUAGCCAGGUUAUUCUGGUAGGCGACAAUGUCCUCAGGCAAGAUCCUGUAUCCGCCCCUGGCGAUAGGAUCAAACAAAUCAGGUGUAGGCAAUGGAAUAAUAUCACGAGUGUCCGCACUGAAAACCAGGUUAUAAGGAACAGUAAUGUCAGCGCUCUUGCUAUCAAUAAACUGGUGGUGUGCCAUAGCCUAACGAUCUAAUAGACCUUGGGUAAAGGAUAGUCAUGCUGGCGUAUCUGAAUGUUGAAGUGACUCACUAAACGAGUAGCAUAAAUACCACCAUGUAUUUUACCCUUGGAUCUGUUAAUGUGGAGGCGACAUGCCACAAUAGCCCCCAAGCUAUAAGUGUUGUUGCUGUAAAGUGCACGGCAUAAAAUAGCGAAGUCCGGGGAACUGAGUGCACCUACCUUCUCUCUACUAAGCAAACACUUUGCAUUGAAUAGAGCAAAAUAAUGCACGACAAGAAAAUGUAAGCUAGUGGCAGUGACACCCGAUACCCUUCUCUCAUCCCCCACUGUCAGAGUACGGUAAAAACCAUCAAACUCCAUGGGCCUAGGCUCUACUAAACCACCAUUGGAAGGGAGCAAGCACAUGUCACAAAAAUCUGUAAGUGGUAUCUGAUGGGGUUCAGCAUAUAAGUUAAACUGGACCUUAGGGGGAUUAUUCCUACUCAAGAAAUGAAAGCUUUGCACAAAGGAAUUUGUGAAUAUAUGGCACUGUUCACAUUCAGCUGGGAUGAAGUUGGUGAGGCUAGCAUUAGCAGCAUAUUGUGCAAACUCUUGAUGGAUUCUAGCUCCCUCCAUGAAUGGGUUAUGCGGCCAUUCGCACGGCUGUACCUCCGCCAUUCUCUGGGUACGAAGAUCUGAUGAGUCCCUAAUAAUUCCCUUGGAGUUCUUCUUGGAAGCAAACUUCCUAAGGAUAGUCAUAUAUUUCCUAUGAACAAAAUUCUGAAAUUUUUAGUCCACAAAGUUUUUCUCAACAAAACUUUACAAGAAUGAGAGCAACUACUCAUGGGGAUGCAUAGAGGCCAUAUCAAGCAUUAAAACUACUUAGAACUCUAAGAAUUUAACAUGCAAGCUCAUCUAUAGCAGCACCAACAGCAACUAAUUAUUCAAAGUAUAAACCACUAAAGCAAAAACUAAUUGGACCAAUGGAGGAGUCACAUACCAAGCAACAAUCCCCCGAAACAGUUUCAGAAACAGAGCUUUGAGCAAAGGGAUUGAAAUCCGUGGGUUUGAGAGAAAGAACACGAGAGAGAGAAUAAUGCUGAUUUUUUCUAGAGGUAGGUGGUGAUAUGGGAUGAAGAGAUAAGUGAGGGGGCCCACGCGGGGACCACGACCCACCAGGAGCACCUCCCUCUGAUGUUAUUUGCACUAAAAAUUCUUAAAUAUUCAGAAAAAAAAUCGUAUUAAAUUUUCAGACUGAGAACUUUUAUUUUUGCAUCAUUUUUUUAUUGUACGGAAAACUCAGAAAACAGACAAAACCUGACAUUUUAUUUUAUUUAACUAAUAAAAACUAAAAACAAAGGGUAAGGACAGAAGGUAGUGCUCACUAAAUUCGUCAACUUCAUACUUCUCAAAAAUGAUCCAAUAAUAAGGUUGAUGAAGUCUUAUUAACAACCACUUCUGAUUGGCAUGAAACCGAAGAACUUUCGUGAAACACUAAGUUAUCUCAAUGGGGAUAUGAAUGUCCCCAACAAUAAGCAUUUCAUAUUUCUUUUUGGCAGUAGGUAGACAUAGUCGAAAACUUCCAAUAGUGAUUGUCUGAGAUUUUUAAAUAAAAUUAAUACCAUUCACUUGGAAUUGUUUCUUCAAAAAGUGCACCGUAUGCUCAUUACCAUUGAUAUGAAAAGUUACCUUGCUUUUAUUGCAAUCAAUAACAGCCCCUACAGUAUUCAAGAAGGGUCUACCAAGGAUAAUUUACAUGUUGUCGUCCUCAGGCAUCUCAAGUAUAACAAAGUCAGUUAAGAUAGUAACGUUUGCAACAACAACAGGCACAUCCUCACAAAUACCGAUAGGUAUGGCAGUUGAUUUGUCAGCCAUUUGCAAAGAUAUUUUGAUAGGUGUGAGUUUGUUCAAAUCAAGUCUUUUAUAUAAAGAAAAAGGCAUAACACUAACACCAGCUCCUAAAUCACAUAAAUCAGUUUUCAAGUAAUUUCCUUUGAUGGAGCAAGGUAUAGUUGGUAUUCCCGUAUCUCCAAGUUUUUUAGGUAUUCCACCCUUAAAAGUAUAAUUAUCAAGCAUGGUGGAGAUUUCAGCUUCCGGUAUUUUCUCUUAUUGGUGAUGAUGUCUUUCAUGUAUUUUGCAUAAGGAGGCAUUUUUAAGAUAUCAUUCAAGCGAGUACGCAAAAAGACUGGCCUCAGCAUUUCAGCAAAGCGUUCAAAUUCUUCAUCAUCUUUCUUUUUGGUUGACUUAAUUAGGUGGAAAGAGCAUAGGUUUUUGAACCCACGGUUCUCUUUCCUUACCAUGUUUUCUAGCUACAAAGUCUUAUCAUAUCUUUUAUUCUUGGGUUGUGGGUUAUCAAGAUCAAUUGUCGGUUCUAUUUCAACAUCAUUGUCUGGUUCUUUAUUAUUUGUUUGAGUAUCUUCAUCAACCUCAAAAUUGUCUUUUUCAUCAUCAGAAGUUGAGUGUUCAUUACCAGAUUGAGUUUCAACAUCAUAAAUAGAGACUUCAUUCUCGUUAUCAGGAGGUUUUUCUACUUCAGGUUCACUAGAGGCAUGCAAAGUCCUAUUAUUUUUCUUCUUCAUUUUCUUUUUAAAAGGACUAGGUGCAUCUGUUUAACUCUUUGAGAGUCUUGUUCAAUUCUUUUUGGGUGUCCCUCAGGAUAAAGUGGUUCCUGAGUCAUUCUACUUCCUCUAGUCAUUACUCUAACAACAUGAUCAUUGAUAUUAUUAUUCAUUUCGUCUAACAACUCUCUUUGAGAUUUUGCAACUUGUUCUAAUUGUGUUUCAACCAUAGAGGCAUGCUUCCCUACACCUCUAACAUCAUUUGAGACUCUAAAUAACAAGUCACUCAAGCGAGCAAUCAUAUCAGAAAUAUAUUUCAAUUGUUUCAUAACAUUUGCAUUGAAGUGAUCUUGCUUUCUAAUGUAAUUAUCAAACUCAUAAAGGCAUUGAAUAGGAUGUUUAUUAUAAGGAAUAUCACCUUCAUCGAACUUUAGUGAAGAAUUUACCUCUACCACCUUAGGUGGUGAUGGUGUUUCAAGCCCAUGUAUUUCUUUGACAGGUGCUAAAAUUUUAACAUCCUGUGCUUUAAUACCUUUUUCCUUCAUAGAUUUCUUUGCCUCUUUCAUAUCUUCAGGACUGAGAUAUAAGAUACCCCUCUUCUUUGGAGUAGGUUUAAAUGAUGGUUCAGGAAGGAUCCAAUCAUCAUAAUUUUUCAAUAUGUUAUUCAAUAAUUCUUCAGCUUGUUCAACAGUUCGUUCCCUGAAAACACAACCAGCACAACUAUCUAGCAAAUCCCUAGAAGCAUGGGUUAGUCCAUUAUAGAAGAUAUCAGGUAUUUCAUUUUUCUUAAGAGGAUGAUCAGGGAAAGCAUUAAGCAAUUGGAGAAGCCUCCCCCAAUCUUGUGGGAGACUCUCUUCUUCAAUUUGCGCAAAGUUAAAUAUUUUCUGUAAGGCAACUUCUUUCUUAUGAGCAGGAGAAUAUUUUUCAGAGAAGUAAUAAAUCAUAUCCUGGGGACUACCCACACAACCAGGAGCAAGAAUAUUAUACCAAGCCUUAACAUCACCCUUUAAUGAGAACGGAAAUAAUUUGAGAAUAUAAUAAUAGUGAAUCUUCUCAUCAUGAGCAAAAAGGGUGUCUAUGUCAUUCAACUUAGUAAGAUGUGCCACAAAAGUUUCAGUUUUAUAACCAUGGAAAGGAUCAGAUUCAACCAAAGUAAUUAACUCUGGGUCGACAGAGAAUUCAUAAUCCUUAUCAUCAACAAAGAUAGGUGAAGUAGCAAACUGAGCAUCACAUUUCAUUUUAGCAUUCAAAUUCUUUUCUUUAUACUUGCAUAAUAAUUUUUCAAAAUCAUCUCUAUCCUUACAAGCAAGAAUGUCUCUAGUUGUCUCCCCAUCCAUAACAUAACCUUCUGGUACCUUUGGCAAUUCAUAUCUAGGAGAACUAGUUGUAACAAGUGUUUCAGGAUUUUUAGUUUCAAGCUCUUCAUCAGUUUCAACAAUCUCAUUCUGUCUUACUCUAGCAAUAUGUUCAUCAAGAAAUUCACCCAGUGGCACAUUAUCAUCAAGCGAGGUACUAGAAUCAUGAGUAGCAUUCAUAGCAUUCAUAGCACCAUCAAUAACUUGCGACAUAUCAGAAUUGAUAACAUGUGGUGGUGCUUCGAGUCUACUUAUAACAGAAGAUGAAUCUAAAGCAGAGCUCGAUGGCAGUUCCUUACCUCCCCUCAUCUUAGAGGGAAAAAUCUUAGUCUUAGCAUCCUUCAAAUUCUUCAUCGGGAUAAUUUGAUAAUAAUCCCAAGUGACACAACAAAUAUAGCUAUGCUCCCCGGCAAAUGGCACCAUAAAAAGGUCUUGAUAACCCACAAGUAUAAGGGAUCGCAAUAGUUUUGGAGGGUAGAGUAUUCAACCCAAAUUUAUUGAUUCGACGCAAUGGGAGCCAUAGAAUAUUUGCAAGUAUUAGCAGCUGAAUUUUCAAUUCAACCACACCUGGAGAUUAAUUAUCUACAACAAAGUGAUCAUUAGCAAAGUAGUAUAAUAGCUUUGAUAGUAGUAGCAACAACAAUAGUAACGGUAACAGUGAUAGCAAUGAUUUUUUAGCAAGCGUAAUAGUAACAAUAGUAGUAGUAACUUAGCAAGAACAAUAUGAGAGAAAUUCAUAGGCAUUGGACCAGUGAAUUCGCUGGAUGAUAUUCAUCAUAUAACAUUCAUAACCUCGGGCGAUACGGCACUAGCUCUAGUUCAUAAAUAUAAUGUAGGCAUGUAUGCCGCAAAUAGUAAUACGUGCUUAUGGAAAGAACUUGCAUGACAUCUUUUGUCCUACCCCCCGUGGCAGCGGGGUCUUGAUGACCCACAAGUAUAUGGGGUCAAUUGUAGCCUUUUCGAUAAGUAAGAGUGUCGAACCCAACGAGGAGCAGAAGGAAAUGACAAGUGGUUUUCAGCAAGGUAUUGUCUGCAAGUGCUAAAAUUGUAAGUAGCGGAGUAGUUUGAUAGCAAGAUAAUUUGUAACGAGCAAGUAACGAUAGUGGUAACAAAAGUGCAGCAAGGUAGCCCAAUCCUUUUGAGGCAAAGGACAGACCAAAACGGUUUCUUAUGAUAAGCAAAGUGUUCUUGAGGGUACACGGGAAUUUCAUCUAGUCACUUUCAUCAUGUUGGCUUAAUUCGUGUUCGUUACUUUGAUAAUUUGAUAUGUGGGUGGACCGGUUCUUAGGUGUUGUUCUUACUUAAACAAACCUCCUACUUAUGAUUAACCCUCUUGCAAGCAUCCGCAACUACGAGAAAAGUAUUAAGAAUAAAUUCUAACCAUAGCAUUAAAAUUUUGGAUCCAAUCGGACCCUCACGGAAUAGCGCAUAAACUGGGGUUUAAGCUUUUGUCAGUCUCACAACCCACCAUCUAAUAACUACUCACAAAUGCAUUCCCUUAGGCCCAAAUAUGGUGAAGUGUCAUGUAGUCGACUUUCACAUGACACCACUAAGAGAAUGACAACAUACAUAUCAUCAAAAAUAUCGAACACAUAUCAAGUUCACAUGAUUACUUGCAACAUGAUUUCUCCCGUGACCUCAAGAACGAAAGUAACUACUCACAAAUGAUAAACAUGCUCAAGAUCAGAGGAGUAUUAAAUAGCAUAAUGGAUCUGAACAUAUAAUCUUCCACCAAAUAAAUCAUAUUGUAAUCAACUACAAUAUGUAAUCAACACUACUAGUCACCCACAAUCACCAAUCUAUAGUUUUGAUACAAAGAUUGAACACAAGAGAUGAACUAGGGUUUGAGAAGAGUUGGUGCUAUGAAGAUGCUGAUGAAGAUAGCCCUCCCCAAGAUGGGAGAGUUGUUGGUGAUGAUGAUCACGAUGAUUUCCCCCUCCGGGAGGGAAGUUCCCCUGGCGGAAUCGCUCCGCCGGAGGGCAAAAGUGCUCCUGCCCAAGUUCCGCCUCGAGGUGACGACGCUUCUUCCCGAAAGUCCUCCUCUCAUUUUUUUCUAGGUUAAAAUGACUUAUAUACAAGAAGAUGGGCACCAGAGGUGGGCCGAGGAGGGCGCACCCACCAGGGCGCGCCUGGGCCUCCUGGCGCGCCCAGGUGGGUUGUGCCCACCUGGUGGCCCCCCUCUGGUACUUAUUUGCUCCAAUAUUUAUUAAAUAUUCCAUAAAAAAUCCUCGGGAAGUUUCAACUCAUUUGGAGUUGUGCAGGAUAGGUAGCUUGACGUAGCUUUUUCAGGUCCAGAUUUCCAGCUGUCGGAAUUCUCACCCUUGGUGCUUACCUUGCAUAUUAUGAAAGAAAAGGCAUUAGAAUUACUCCAAAAAGCAUUAUUAUACAAUAAAACAACAUAAAUAAUAGUAGGAAAACCUGAUGCAAAAUGGACGUAUCAACUCCCCCAAGCUUAGACCUCACUUGCCCUCAAGCGAAAACUGAAACCUAAAAACAUGUCCACAUGCUUAGAGAGAGAGGUGUCGAUAAAAACAAAAAUACGGACAUAGUAGCAUCAUGUGACUUAUUAUAACAACAACAAACUUUAACAUAAAUCUUUAAUCAUAGAACUUCUCAUGAACAAGUGACAAUUCAUCACAACAUCGAAGUAUAAAGCAUAAACUCUAUUGGAAACCGACAAACUAUGUUCUCAGUCAACUUUGCAACUACAAUUCAUCAUCUUUUUAGGAAGAGUCACCUAUCGAAGCCUUUAGGCAAGUCCACAUACUCAACCAUCAUUUAGUCUUCUAUGAUUGCUAACACUCACCGCGUACACAUGAGCAAAACGUUUCAACCGGACACAUAGAAAGAUAGGGGCUUAUAGUUUUGCCUCCCAACGCAUUCACCUCAAUGGUGAUAUCAACAAUAAUAACUCAUGCUACCAUAUUCAACUGGACAUAUGUGCCUAGAUCUUUCCUCACCCCAUGAUGCUUGCCAAGGGAGAAAAUAAAAGGAAAAGAGAGAAAAACUUUGACUCUUGCAUAAAAGUAAAUACAUGAAAGUAAAAGAUAGGCCCUUCGCAGAGGGAAGCAGAGGUUGCCAUGCUUUUGUUUGUAUGCUCAACCCCUUAGUGCAAGAGAACAUCACGUUAUAUUGCCCAUAGUGAUGGCAACCUUUAUUGUGCAGUCUGUCGCUUUUAUUCUUCACCAUCACAAGUUCGUACAACGAUCAAUUUUCCAUUACACUAAAUGAUCUCACACUUUUAUAAGCAAUUUUUAUUGCCCUUUUUGCACCGAUGACAACUUACUUGAUGGAUAUUACUCAAUCCGUAGGUAGGUAUGGUGGACUCUGAAACAAUAUAGGGUUUAAGGGUUUUGGAUGCACAAGUAGUAUCUCUACUUAGUGCGGAGUUUUUGGCUAGCAAAGAUAGGGGCAAGCACCACAUGUUGAAGGAUCUAUGACAAUAUAACUUCUAUGUGGAUAUGAACAAACAUAAAUCAUUAAGUUGUCUUCCUUGUCCAACGUCAACAAUUUGGCAUAUAAUAUUUUGAUGGGUGCUCACAAUCAUAAAAGAUUUCCAUGAUAGUAUAUUUAUAUGUAAAUAUUCUCUUCCCUUAUUAAUUCUUUCAUGAGUGGCAUCAUUGACCAAUGCUAUGUUUGUCAAUCUACAAUAAAAUUUUCUACUUAUACUUUUCCUUGUGUAAUGUCAUCACUUACCAUAAGAUUAACAUAUGAUAUUUUUCUUUUAUUUCCUUUCUUUUUAUUGAAACAAAAAAAGUAAAGAAGGCAAAACUCAAACUAAACUUUUUUAUAUAUAUCACACACGACUACAAGGAUUGAUCACUAACAAAACUCACAAAAAGAAAGGGUAACUAAACUUUUAUUCAUCUAAUAGCAAAAGAUAACCAUGGAUCAAACUAAGAAAGUAAAGGCAAAAGAUAGUGGAGAUGAUACGAUACUGGGUCACCUCCCCCAAGCUCGGCGGAAGCCAAGGGGAGUGCCCAUACCCAAUACUCAGUUUUCUUUUGGUGGUGAAGAAGGAGGUGGCGGUGAUGAAGUGGUGGGUCUGCCAUCCUUCCUCAGCUUACGCUUGAGGACGAAAUUCUCAUCUUUUAGUUCUUGAAUCUCCCACUCAAGCUCCAACACCUUUUUGCACCAAUCUUGCUUAUUUUCCUGCAAGAUACGAAAAGGGAUUAACUAGAUCCUAGGUGUGACGCCCCCGAUUCAAUCAUACACUAAUCAUGCACGCAAAUGUGUACGAUCAAGAUCAGGGACUCACGGGAAGAUAUCACAACACAACUCUAAAACUUAAAUAAGUCAUACAAGCAUCAUAAUACAAGCCAGGGGCCUCGAGGGCUCGAAUACAAGUGCUCGAUCAUAGACGAGUCAGCGGAAGCAACAAUAUCUGAGUACAGACAUAAGUUAAACAAGUUUGCCUUAAGAAGGCUAGCACAAACUGGGAUACAGAUCGAAAGAGGCGCAGGCCUCCUGCCUGGGAUCCUCCUAACUACUCCUGGUCGUCGUCAGCGGCCUGCACGUAGUAGUAGGCACCUCCAGGGUAGUAGGGAUCAUCGUCGACGGUGGCGUCUGGCUCCAGGGCUCCAGCAUCUGGUUGCGACAACCAGGUAGAAGGGAAAGGGGAAAGAGGGAGAAAAGCAACCGUGAGUACUCAUCCAAAGUACUCGCAAGCAAGGAACUACACUACAUAUGCAUGGGUAUAUGUGUAAGGAGGCCAUAUCGGUGGACUGAACUGCAGAAUGCCAGAAUAAGAGGGGGAUAGCUAGUCCUAUCGAAGACUACGCUUCUGGCAGCCUCCGUCUCGCAGCAUGUAGAAGAGAGUAGAUUGAAGUCCUCCAAGUAGCAUCUCCAAGUAGCAUCUCCAAGUAUCAUCUCCAAGUAGCAUCUCCAAGUAGCAUCUCCAAGUAGCAUCUCCAAGUAUCAUCUCCAAGUAGCAUCUCCAAGUAGCAUCUCCAAGUAGCAUCUCCAAGUAGCAUCGCAUAGCAUAAUCCUACCCGGCGAUCCUCCCCUCGUCGCCCUGUGGAAAAGCGAUCACCGGGUUGUCUGUGGAACUUGGAAGGGUGUGUUUUAUUAAGUAUCCGGUUCUAGUUGUCAUAAGGUCAAGGUACAACUCCAAGUCGUCCUGUUACCGAAGAUCACGGCUAUUCGAAUAGAUUAACUUCCCUGCAGGGGUGCACCAACUUACCCAGCACGCUUGAUCCCAUUUGGCCGGACACACUUUCCUGGGUCAUGCCCGGCCGCGGAAGAUCAACAUGUCGCAGCCCCACCUAGGCAAAACAGAGAGGCCAGCACGCCGGUCUAAACCUAAGCGCACAGGGGUCUGGGCCCAUCGCCCAUAGCACACCUGCACGUUGCGAGGGCGGCCGAAAGCAGACCUAGCCUAGUGGCGUUCCAGUCCAAUUCAGCGCGCACCGCUCCAUCGCUGACGUCUGAAGUGCUUCGACUGAUACCACGACGUCGGGAUACCCAUAACUACUCCCGCGUAGAUGGUUAGUGCGUAUAAGCUCGUAGCCAACUCAGAUCAAAUACCAAGAUCUCGUUAAGCGUGUUAAGUAUCCGCGAACACCGAACAGGGCCAGGCCCACCUCUCUCCUAGGUGGUCUCAACCUGCCCUGUCGCUCCGCCACAAAGAUCCACACAGAGGGCCGUCGGGACAAAGGUCCUUUCAGCCCCCAAUACGUGAAUCACUCGCGGGUACUCUUCGAGCUGACCCGACUUUAGUCACCAUCUGUAUAGUAUGUAUGUAUGUAUAAUAUAUACCCGUGAUCAACUCCCGAGUGAUCACGGCCCAAUAGUAUAGCAAGGCAGACUGACAAGAAUGUAGGGCCAAUGAUGAUAAACUAGCAUCCUAUACUAAGCAUUUAGGAUUGCAGGUAAGGUAUCAACAGAUGUAGCAACAAUGUCAGGCUAUGCAUCAGAAUAGGAUCAACGGAAAGCAGUAACAUGCUACACUACUCUAAUGCAAGCAGUAUAGAGUAGAAUAGGCGAUAUCUGGUGAUCAAGGGGGGCUUGCCUGGUUGCUCUGGCAAGAGAGAGGGGUCGUCAACUCUAUAGUCGAACUGGGCAGCAGCAGCGUCGGUCUCGUGGUCUACCGGAGAGAAGAGGGGGAAGAAACAAUGAAUACAAUGCAAACAAUGCAUAUCGAUGCAUGACAUGACAAGUAACGAUGCUAGGCGUGCCCUAGCGUGGUAUGAGGUGGUACCGGUUAAGGGGGAAACAUUCGGGAAAAUAUCCCCGGUGUUUUGGGUUUUCGGGCAGAGGAGCCGGAGGGGGAAAGUUGCGGGUUCGAUAGUUUAGGGGUGUGUGGCGGACGAACAGACUGCGUAUCCGGAUUCGUCACGUCGUUCUGAGCAACUUUCAUGUUGAAAAUAUUUUAAUCCGAGUUACGGAUUAAAAGAUAUGAUUUUAAAGAUUUUAUUAAUUUCUAGAAUUUAAUUAAUUAAUUAAUUAAUUCGAAAAAAUGGAUUUAUGAUGUCAGCAUGAUGUCAUGCUGACGUCAGCAGUCAACAGAGUUGACCUGUUCAACCUGACAUGAGGGUCCAGGGGGGACCCACCUGUCAUCCUCUAAUUAGGUUAAUUAGGGUUUAGGUUAAUCUAAUUACAGUUUAAUUAAACUUAACUAGUUAAUUAAAUUAAUUAAACUGGAUUAAUUAACUUAAUUAAUUCAUUAGUUAAUUAAUUAAUUAAUAAUUAAUUUUAUUAAAUCAUUUUUUAUUUUUAUUUUCCUUUUCCUUUUUUUAUUUUCAAAAACGUUAUGGGGCACGGGCCCCGUUUGUCAUAGGCCCCUAGGGGCCAUAUUGGGUUCGGGCGCAGGCCGGCGCGAGAUUGCGGCGGCAGGGCGGUGCGUGGCGGGGUGGGAGCAGGGGGAACGACGGCGCGGCAGUGGGGGGCUACGGCCAUGGUCGGGCGCCAGCUGCAGGCGGAGCCGGCGAGGUCAGAGGCGGAGCGGGGGCACGGCGAGUUGGACGGGGCGAGUGGGUGCGUUCACGAGGGGCGAGCAAAGGCGGGAGCGCCGUCGCGCGCGCGUAGUCGACGCGGGCGGCGGGCGACGCACAGGGGCGGCAGAGGCGAGGGCCGCCGCGGUAAGGUGCUAGGCGGGGGAAGGAGGACUGGGGUCCUCACCGUCCGUUGGAGGGAAGGGGGCGUCGAGGCGCGAUGGCGACCAGUGGGGAGGAGGACGAGGAGGCGAUCCGGCGACGGCGACGGGGCGGCGUUUAGGCGAGGGAGAUCCAGUUGAGGGGGGCGCCGCACAGUCCAGUGGACGCCAUGGCCGCGGGGAGGAGGGCUCUGGCGUGGUGGCAUCGCGGGGGAGGACAGAGGCGCGGCGGGGCGGCGACCGGUGACGGAGCCCAGCGGCAGGGCGCGGGGUCGGGCGCCGGAUGGCACGGCCGUUGCCCCGAUCCAGAGGGGAUCGAGGAGUGGGUGAGCGAGGGGAGUGGGGAUGGGAAGUGGCGACAUGGGGGUGUCGGUUAGGGUUUGGUGCCCCCAGGGGGUUAUAGGCCAGGGGAGGGAGUGGGCCGGCCUGGCAGGCCACUGGUUGGGCCGAGGUCCAGUUGGCCUGGGGGUUUUCUUUUCCUUUUUUUUGUUAGUUUGUUUUUCUAUUUUAUUUCUUUUCUUCUUUUCUGUUUUAUUAAAUUUCGGUGUUUAUGAAAAACCCAAGUUGCACCUAAAAUAUUUUUAGUACUUAUGCCACUACCGCAAUUAACUUGGCACCUAAUAUAAAAUCAUUUGUAAUUGUUUAUUAUUUUAUAAUCAUUUAACUAAUUGUUUUUGCUACUAUUUUAUUCAUUUUGAGUAUUUACAUAUUUUAUACAAGUGUGGUUUCUCCACCAUAAUUACCUACGCAUUAUUUGGCACAACCAGAACAUUUUAGUUUUAUUAUUUGAAAACUUUUGUUGUUUGCCUAUAUUUUAAAUUUGAAUUUGAAUCGUUUUGAACUAACACGAGUUUACCAACAGUAACCGAGGUGACGUGGCAUCAUUAGCGCAGGGUUACUGUAGCUUGAUUACCCGGGCGUCAUAAUUCUCUUCCACUACAAGAAAUCUCGUCCCGAGAUUUAAGAGGUAGUGAAAGGGGGGGAAGGUUUGGUAACGAAUCUAGCGGGUCUUCUCAUUCUGGCUUGCUCUUCUCGAAGAGACCAGUCCAGUACAUUGAUGUUUUCAUUUCUCCGCUUCAGGUCAUCAUGAUGAAGUCGGCAUCCUUUCUUCGGGAUCUUCAUCGUAUUUACGAAUAGGUAACGAGGCAUAUUGGCAACGAUAGUAUGUUAUAAGGGUAAUGAUCUGGGAUUAACCCAUGAAUGAGCAUAUGAGUACCUCUUGAGUUGAACAAAUAAAACACAUCGAGAGUAAAGUUGGAAGGUACAAUAAGAAGUUUCAGGCAGCCAGGCAAUCGUUCAAUGCCUAGUCAGAAGGUGAAAGUGGUUCAGAGCAACGAGAAUAAGUAUUGCGUCUGAUACCAGAAUUGAUGAUCUCAUCGGUAGGUGGCUCAUGAAUUUCAUACGAGUCCACGCGCGAGGAAUAACUUUGGAAACAUGAGGGUGUACAGGAGAGUCAGGUUUCGAUCCUGGUGGAACUGUGGGUUAUGGGCCCACCAUGUGGGUUAAAAGUAGGAAAAGCGGUGACGUCUUGCACAAUCAUGUAAGCAAGGCAUGUCAGAGGAGAGUCUAUGGGUCAUGUCGGCAACAACAUAGGUACCAAGGGCGAGGGACGAAGAGAACCAUUUUUCUGCUCGUUGAAACGAGGCGGACCAACAGGCAAGGUUCCCGUCCAUCGGUGGUUACUGGAAUGUCAUCAACAAUAGUAACAAGGUCUUACCGACAGAGUUGUACAUCGAGGCGUUUGCACAAGCAGUGGAUUAUUACUGCUUAUAUCAUAUAGAUCAUAGAAAAUGUUUAAACAAACCAAUGGAAGGAAAAUAUGAUCAUCAGAUUAAACAGAACAAUGGAAAGGAAAAUAUGUUUAAACACAUUUUUCAAGGGUAUAUCCUUCCCAAGGACAAGCAGAGCAACAUAUCCAUGACAGGAUAUAAAGUAGAAAACCAUUUAGGUAAGGGGGAAGGAAUCUCAUGAUAUUACCCAUACAACGGUGUUAGGAUAAGUGAUAAAUAAAAUUUAGCAUCGUGCUUCAAAUGUUCCUGUUGAAAAUCGGAGUACCAUUGACAUGCUUCGAGAUAGCAUUGACAUGGUCUUCAGGUGAAGAUCAGACUCUGGAAACACGAAGGAUCCAUCAGGAAUAACUUGUAGAAUAAGUUUUACAAUUUCCUCAUGGAAGAAUGGCUAAGCUUGCUAAAAAGGAUACUACAACAAUAGGUCCUCCACCCAGGGGGGGGGGUGCUAGGCAUGACAUCAUGUUACCGGGUCGUCAAAGGACCAACAUCAUAACUCUUGGAAAGUUGUCCCAACCAUCAUAUCUGACCGAGAUUCAGAUCCGAUUGGUGUCAGGAUGCCUCAGACUCAGGAUGUCCGAGAAGAAAAGGCGCAACACAAAUCAUUGAAAUGGCAUUGCAAGAUUCUCGGGAAAUGAACUAUGGGAGCGGGUUCCUAAAACAAUAGUUCAUCAUUAAACCAAGGAGAGGUGAGGAGGUGGCUGAUUGACUCUGCGACAAUUCAUUGAGAUUUUCAAAAGAUGGAUUUCCACAAUAAUGUGAACAAGAAGAUGACAUUUGUCAGAUCAAAUGGUAUAAUGAUGUAUGCUCGAGGAAAACAUACACAAUUAAACAUUGGUUGAAAGGUGCACCCGAAAUAUGGGUUGGGUUGCACGACCAAUGUCAGAAUGGUGAUUCAAUAGUCAAUAGCCUAAGAAUGAACAUUCGACCAUUAACUUCAAAAAAAUAGGGUUGCUAGAAGGAAAGAAUCCAAACAACACCGUUCACUUGUUGGAAUUAACACGGGGACCAAGAAAGAAUGGUGAUGGUGAGAAGUAUUUCUAUGUCAAGAAUUCUCAAGAGGUGGAACAAAUCUCAGAACAUUCUUGACAUAAAGGAUGGUAAUACUCCAAGGUAAAGAAGAACAAUUGCUGGAUGGCAAGGAACUCAAGGUAUAACACCAAACAUGAACAAGCUUGUGUUGGUGGGAGGGCAAUAAAGUGGUCGACGAUAAUACAAUUCAUCGAGGGCAAGGAUGGUAUUUCUCAUCAUGAAUUCAAUUGAUAUCCUGGAUGAGCUCAGAAUGUUGAUGAUCACGACACCUUUGUCGCGAGAGUUCAUGAAGAUGUAAUCGAUCGGUAACGACAUCAAGUCAAGUAAUGAUGAAGUGAAAGGUUAUUGGAACCAAGGGUACGACACAAACUCGAAACCAAGCUUGUUGUUCAAGGCGAAAUGAUAUGACGAUGAGGAUCGACGUAAGGUUAGUUCAUCGUCGAAAAUUGGUGCUCCGAGAAUAAGGACCAGGUAGCACAGUUAGAAUCGUCACGACAAUGAUAUAGCCAAACAGGCUAGGAAUGGCGUGAUCGGGUACAAACUCGUACUUAUAGAAGCUUACUGAAGAGUUGUUGAACCGAAGAGCGGACUCAGUUCAGUUAUCGGUGUCUUUGAGUGUUCAAUAACUCAGAGCCCGCGAAAAAUUGGAAUCAGUGGGAAGGUAGCACUUGAUGAAGAACUCAUAAAAAGUUAUGCAGUUCCAUGAUAAUCUCGAGAUACCAAGGGGGUAAUACUCGACACAAGAUCAAAGUAAAGGUUGGACUGGUGUAUUGAUCCAUAGAAGACAAUUGUUUUAACUUGUCCGAGAAAUGAGAUCAAAGAAGAACAAUCAUGGUCGGAACCACGGUUGAAAAAGGCCAGAUCCUAGAUAUAAGAUGAACUUAUACCAAAGGAAUAAUUUAUUUAAGAGAAGCUUUAAUGAUAAGAUCUACAUCGUGUCGAUGGGCAUGAACACAAGUUCAAGGUCGACUCCCACUUCUCCAAUGCAUAACCUUUCAUUUACUUCUCACGUUCGAUGAAGUUGCAGUGUUGAAAUUUUAUCUGGUGAAGCACCAGAAGAGUAUGACUCGUGAAAACUUUCGGGUUCACACGGUUUAGAGAAGGCAUAUGUUCCCAUAGGGGCUUCUUAGAAACAUAUACCACAAGUUUCAAGAGUAAAUAACACAAGCCCGAAAGCAGAGCAUGGUUGGCCAAGCAGAGGAUACAACUUAACAAAGGCAUUAUGUAUCAGGGGAAGAACUCACAAGGUGAUCAAAUGUGAAGGACACUGUCGGAUAACAAUCCAACAAAGGACUUGAUGGUCCACAAAGGAUCUGAUACGAGUAUCGGUACUCAACUAGAGGAAGAAGAAUGCAAGGAGAUCAGAUUAUAGAAACAACUGACUAACUCAAUUGUCAAAUGCAAAGGAAUUAUGAUUUCCAAAUCAAGGGAUCAAAAGCAAUGCUCUGAUUAGGGAUGGAUAAGUUGAAUAGCCUUAGGGUACAAUCAACGACAAUUGGAUUGGUCAAGAACCAAUUCCAGUUAAAAGAAUGGAAGCUCAGCCGGAAAGGUAAUUUAUAAGGAUCAAUGAUGAUUGCGUGUAUUCGCAACAUAUUGAGUCAACAGACUCAAAAUGAUAAUGACAAGGAAUGUCAAUAAGAUUUCUAUACUUAUGGGAUUAAUCAUAAUGAAAGCAAACAAGAAAUUCCAGAGCAAUAGGUUGCUGAGGAUUUUCAGAAUAUCGGGUGGUAUUUCGAAGACUUUUGUGUAACACAUGAACAACUGGGGGAUGAGCGGAUACUCGAUAAGUGCGAGAAUUUAUUUGAAGGGGGUAUUCAUGUGGCAAAGAACUGCUAGGCAGUAAGCACAAAGUAUUCUCGGAACAAUAGAGAAAACUUCGGGGUAUCUUGUAAUAACAAGAUCAAUGGGGGGUGAUCAUAUGAAUGGCAAGUGUAAGUAGUUAUCCAUACAGAUUUAUCGGUGGUCAGGAAUAGCAAAAGUGAUGGGCACAAAGUCUCGAGAGAACAUCAGAGAGUAUCUUCGGAAUCAUCUGAUGUAGCAGGCGAUCCUCUGCAGUAAGGGGCUCUCCGGGUGGAUGCGAUCACGAGAUCCUAAUCUUAGAGUUAGCAAAUUCAUUUAACCCGAAUAGUAGAGAGAUCAGAGUCCCAGAGUAUAGGUCGAGGAGUAAAAGAUCCUACUACCACCCGAUGGCGACGUGGGCCCAUGGGCCACAUAGCCAUGUUAGUAAAAGUUUUUCAACGACUAGACUCGACUUCAGCCAAGGAAUUGGAAAGAGGGAUUCCUACAGGCAGUUGGCUCUGAUACCAACUUGUGACGCCCCCGAUUCAGUCGUACACUAAUCAUGCACGCAAAUGUGUACGAUCAAGAUCAGGGACUCACGGGAAGAUAUCACAACACAACUCUAAAACUUAAAUAAGUCAUACAAGCAUCAUAAUACAAGCCAGGGGCCUCGAGGGCUCGAAUACAAGUGCUCGAUCAUAGACGAGUCAGCGGAAGCAACAAUAUCUGAGUACAGACAUAAGUUAAACAAGUUUGCCUUAAGAAGGCUAGCACAAACUGGGAUACAGAUCGAAAGAGGCGCAGGCCUCCUGCCUGGGAUCCUCCUAACUACUCCUGGUCGUCGUCAGCGGCCUGCACGUAGUAGUAGGCACCUCCAGGGUAGUAGGGAUCAUCGUCGACGGUGGCGUCUGGCUCCAGGGCUCCAGCAUCUGGUUGCGACAACCAGGUAGAAGGGAAAGGGGAAAGAGGGAGAAAAGCAACCGUGAGUACUCAUCCAAAGUACUCGCAAGCAAGGAACUACACUACAUAUGCAUGGGUAUAUGUGUAAGGAGGCCAUAUCGGUGGACUGAACUGCAGAAUGCCAGAAUAAGAGGGGGAUAGCUAGUCCUAUCGAAGACUACGCUUCUGGCAGCCUCCGUCUCGCAGCAUGUAGAAGAGAGUAGAUUGAAGUCCUCCAAGUAGCAUCUCCAAGUAGCAUCUCCAAGUAUCAUCUCCAAGUAGCAUCUCCAAGUAGCAUCUCCAAGUAGCAUCUCCAAGUAUCAUCUCCAAGUAGCAUCUCCAAGUAGCAUCUCCAAGUAGCAUCUCCAAGUAGCAUCGCAUAGCAUAAUCCUACCCGGCGAUCCUCCCCUCGUCGCCCUGUGGAAAAGCGAUCACCGGGUUGUCUGUGGAACUUGGAAGGGUGUGUUUUAUUAAGUAUCCGGUUCUAGUUGUCAUAAGGUCAAGGUACAACUCCAAGUCGUCCUGUUACCGAAGAUCACGGCUAUUCGAAUAGAUUAACUUCCCUGCAGGGGUGCACCAACUUACCCAGCACGCUUGAUCCCAUUUGGCCGGACACACUUUCCUGGGUCAUGCCCGGUCGCGGAAGAUCAACACGUCGCAGCCCCACCUAGGCAAAACAGAGAGGCCAGCACGCCGGUCUAAACCUAAGCGCACAGGGGUCUGGGCCCAUCGCCCAUAGCACACCUGCACGUUGCGAGGGCGGCCGAAAGCAGACCUAGCCUAGUGGCGUUCCAGUCCAAUUCGGCGCGCGCCGCUCCGUCGCUGACGUCUGAAGUGCUUCGGCUGAUACCACGAUGUCGGGAUACCCAUAACUACUCCCGCGUAGAUGGUUAGUGCGUAUAAGCUCGUAGCCAACUCAGAUCAAAUACCAAGAUCUCGUUAAGCGUGUUAAGUAUCCGCGAACACCGAACAGGGCCAGGCCCACCUCUCUCCUAGGUGGUCUCAACCUGCCCUGUCGCUCCGCCACAAAGAUCCACACAGAGGGCCAUCGGGACAAAGGUCCUUUCAGCCCCCAAUCCGUGAAUCACUCGCGGGUACUCUUCGAGCUGACCCGACUUUAGUCACCAUCUGUAUAGUAUGUAUGUAUGUAUAAUAUAUACCCGUGAUCAACUCCCGAGUGAUCACGGCCCAAUAGUAUAGCAAGGCAGACUGACAAGAAUGUAGGGCCAAUGAUGAUAAACUAGCAUCCUAUACUAAGCAUUUAGGAUUGCAGGUAAGGUAUCAACAGAUGUAGCAACAAUGUCAGGCUAUGCAUCAGAAUAGGAUCAACGGAAAGUAGUAACAUGCUACACUACUCUAAUGCAAGCAGUAUAGAGUAGAAUAGGCGAUAUCUGGUGAUUAAGGGGGGGGCUUGCCUGGUUGCUCUGGCAAGAGAGAGGGGUAGUCAACUCUAUAGUCGAACUGGGCAGCAGCAGCGUCGGUCUCGUGGUCUACCGGAGAGAAGAGGGGGAAGAAACAAUGAAUACAAUGCAAACAAUGCAUAUCGAUGCAUGACAUGACAAGUAACGAUGCUAGGCGUGCCCUAGCGUGGUAUGAGGUGGUACCGGUUAAGGGGGAAACAUUCGGGAAAAUAUCCCCGGUGUUUUGGGUUUUCGGGCAGAGGAGCCGGAGGGGGAAAGUUGCGGGUUCGAUAGGUUAGGGGUGUGUGGCGGACGAACGGACUGCGUAUCCGGAUUCGUCACGUCGUUCUGAGCAACUUUCAUGUUGAAAAUAUUUUAAUCCGAGUUACGGAUUAAAAGAUAUGAUUUUCUAAAGAUUUUAUUAAUUUCUAGAAUUUAAUUAAUUAAUUAAUUAAUUCGAAAAAAUGGAUUUAUGACGUCAGCAUGAUGUCAUGCUGACGUCAGCAGUCAACAGAGUUGACCUGUUCAACCUGACAUGUGGGUCCAGGGGGGACCCACCUGUCAUCCUCUAAUUAGGUUACUUAGGGUUUAGGUUAAUCUAAUUACAGCUUAAUUAAACUUAAUUAGUUAAUUAAAUUAAUUAAACCGGAUUAAUUAACUUAAUUAAUUCAUUAGUUAAUUAAUUAAUUAAUAAUUAAUUUUAUUAAAUCAUUUUUUUAUUUUUUUUUCCUUUUCCUUUUUUUUUCAAAAACGUUAUAGGGCACGGGCCCCGUUUGUCAUAGGCCCCUAGGGGCCAUAUUGGGUUCGGGUGCUACGGGCGCCGCAGGUGCGGGCGCGAGGCGCUGCGGGGCGCCCGACCCAGGAGAGGGCCGAGCGGGCGCAGAGGGGGGCGCCGGCGACGGGCGCAGGCCGGCGCGAGAUUGCGGCGGCAGGGUGGUGCGUGGCGGGGUGGGAGCAGGGGGAACGACGGCGCGGCAGUGGGGGGCUACGGCCAUGGCCGGGCGNNNNNNNNNNNNNNNNNNNNNNNNNNNNNNNNNNNNNNNNNNNNNNNNNNNNNNNNNNNNNNNNNNNNNNNNNNNNNNNNNNNNNNNNNNNNNNNNNNNNNNNNNNNNNNNNNNNNNNNNNNNNNNNNNNNNNNNNNNNNNNNNNNNNNNNNNNNNNNNNNNNNNNNNNNNNNNNNNNNNNNNNNNNNNNNNNNNNNNNNNNNNNNNNNNNNNNNNNNNNNNNNNNNNNNNNNNNNNNNNNNNNNNNNNNNNNNNNNNNNNNNNNNNNNNNNNNNNNNNNNNNNNNNNNNNNNNNNNNNNNNNNNNNNNNNNNNNNNNNNNNNNNNNNNNNNNNNNNNNNNNNNNNNNNNNNNNNNNNNNNNNNNNNNNNNNNNNNNNNNNNNNNNNNNNNNNNNNNNNNNNNNNNNNNNNNNNNNNNNNNNNNNNNNNNNNNNNNNNNNNNNNNNNNNNNNNNNNNNNNNNNNNNNNNNNNNNNNNNNNNNNNNNNNNNNNNNNNNNNNNNNNNNNNNNNNNNNNNNNNNNNNNNNNNNNNNNNNNNNNNNNNNNNNNNNNNNNNNNNNNNNNNNNNNNNNNNNNNNNNNNNNNNNNNNNNNNNNNNNNNNNNNNNNNNNNNNNNNNNNNNNNNNNNNNNNNNNNNNNNNNNNNNNNNNNNNNNNNNNNNNNNNNNNNNNNNNNNNNNNNNNNNNNNNNNNNNNNNNNNNNNNNNNNNNNNNNNNNNNNNNNNNNNNNNNNNNNNNNNNNNNNNNNNNNNNNNNNNNNNNNNNNNNNNNNNNNNNNNNNNNNNNNNNNNNNNNNNNNNNNNNNNNNNNNNNNNNNNNNNGCGGCGGGGCGGCGACCGGUGACGGAGCCCACGGCGGGGCGCGGGGUCGGGCGCCGGACGGCACGGCCGUUGCCCCGAUCCAGAGGGGAUCGAGGAGUGGGUGAGCGAGGGGAGUGGGGAUGGGAAGUGGCGACGUGGGGGUGUCGGUUAGGGUUUGGUGCCCCCAGGGGGUUAUAGGCCAGGGGAGGGAGUGGGCCGGCCUGGCAGGCCACUGGUUGGGCCGAGGUCCAGUUGGCCUGGGGGUUUUCUUUUCCUUUUUUUUUGUUAGUUUGUUUUUCUAUUUUAUUUCUUUUCUUCUUUUCUGUUUUAUUAAAUUUCGAUGUUUAUGAAAAACCCAAGUUGCACCUAAAAUAUUUUUAGUACUUAUGCCACUACCGCAAUUAACUUGGCACCUAAUAUAAAAUCAUUUGUAAUUGUUUAUUAUUUUAUAAUCAUUUAACUAAUUGUUUUUGCUACUAUUUUAUUUAUUUUGAGUAUUUACAUAUUUUAUACAAGUGUGGUUUCUCCACCAUAAUUACCUACGCAUUAUUUGGCACAACCAGAACAUUUUAGUUUUAUUAUUUGAAAACUUUUGUUGUUUGCCUAUAUUUUAAAUUUGAAUUUGAAUCGUUUUGAACUAACACGAGUUUACCAAAAGUAACCGAGGUGACGUGGCAUCAUUAGCGCAGGGUUACUGUAGCUUGAUUACCCGGGCGUCACACUAGGCCUCUUUGCUUUGUUGGGGAGACUUGACUUCUUAAAUUCAACAUGCAUGUCCCCAGGUUGGGGCAAUGGAACUUCAUCCUCCUUUGAGCUCGUUUCCUCCUUCUUCUAAGGAUCAAACUUCUUCCUCCGAAGUCCAGCCAUAGUGCUCCACAUCCCCAUAGACCUUGGAGUUUGCAAUAUAAUCUGCAACAUAGCUCUCGCCUGCCGAGUCUUGGGACGACAUAACUCUAGAUCUGUUAGGAAAUCGGAGAGAAAAGAAAACAGGAGAUUUCUUCGUGAUACGGAGGUUAACAGGUUCGGGAGGUAUAUAUAUAUAUAUAUAUAUAUAGACGGUCUAUUCUGCUAAUAUUAGCAGAAUAACUAUUCUGCACACCACUUCGGCACUGCACGCUCAACAGAAGCGCACUGCAUCAUUUUGACGACGAGCACUGCAAUAGAGACUAGUGAACUUCGCGUCAAAAAAUUGCAUGCAGUGUUUUUCUGGUACUGUUUUCGUUCUAGUUUUUUAACCGUUUAUUGGAACGAGGCGUAUAAUAUACCGUUGGAAAGCUAUGGAUUAGGCGCAACUUCGUCAUGUUGAACAUUUUUCGAGAUUCCUUGCGGUUUAAGAGCAGUUUCAAAAACGACGCGGCGGACGACGAGUGGCAUCGAGCGUUUUUUCGCGUUUUUUUCUAAACUGCUUGUCGGAAUGAAGCAAAUGAUACGCCGUUGGAUAGAUAUCAUCGAGGCGCAUAUUUGUCAUAUAUAAAUAUUUCUCUAAUUCGUUACGGUUUAAGAGCAGUUUCAAAUUUACUAAAUCGCGGAAUUUUGUUUUUAAGUUUUUUUAAAAAAAUGGUACUGUUUUCGCUCCAAUUUUUGAACCGUUUGUCGAAACGAGGCGUCCGAUACGCCGUUGGAAAGCUACGAACAAGGCGCAACUUUCAUAUGUUGAAUUAUUUUUGAGAUUCCUUACGAUUUUAAGUUAAUUUUGAAAAUUGUGCGGUGGACAACGAGUGGCGGCGGCCGUUUUUCGUGAAAUUUUUGCAAACCGCUGGUCGGAAUAAUUCAAACGAUACGCUGUUAGAAAGAUAUCGAUGAUACACAACUCUUUCAUGUAGAACACUCUCUCUAAUUCUUUACGGUUUAAGAGGAAUUUUGAAUUACCGAAAUGCGGACACUGUUUUUCGCGAUACCCAAAUCUUACGUGCGUAUUUCAUCUGACUGAAAACCGCACUGCAUCGGAUGAAAAACUGCACUGCAUCAGACGGGUAAGAGAACUGCAUGGUUUCUUUUAUUCAAACAUAAUUUUUUCAAGGAUGAGAAAGUAGAAUGCACUUCACAAUGGUAGUGAGUGAACGGCAACACUAUCAAGAAGUGAACCUCGUUACUUUUUUUAUUUUGCAUUUUUACUUUGGGUCCAAGUGAACCACAACGCUCUUGAAAAUGAGCCACAAGCAUUCUCAAACGUGAACCGCACCACUCUAUUCAAACACAUUUUUUUUUAAAUGAAGUGUACUUCAAAGUCCUUCGGAGUGGACUUUUUUAAAGAUCGGAGUGCACUACAUUUUUUUCUUUUUUCUCUCUAGAGUUUUGGUUUUCCCCUAGUGCACUGCAUAUAUAUUUUUGGGUUAAUAAUGAAAUAUGCACUGCGGGGACGAGGCGAGUGGACUGCAUCAGGGCAACCAUGAACCUCAUUGCUUUUUUGUUUUGCGAAGUGCACCGCCAUGGUUUUCUUAAUAAACUGCAUCCAUGUCCAUACAAAUUUGCCAAUGUUUUUGCUGCAAAUCCUGAGUGCAAUCAAAUUGCGCCAAACAAAGAACUUCAACCUCUUUUCUCAAAUCCUGGAUGCAAUCGAACCACGUCUAAAUAAGGAGUGGUUUUUUAUCAUUUUUUUUUCUUUUCUCUCUUUUUUUCACAGAGCAAACCACAGAGCUAUUUACAAUGAACUGCAUUCAUCAUAAAAAAGAAUACAAACAUUCCACUGCAAAUUUAUACUACAUAGCAAGCACCACAAACUACGCGUAACACUAGUCAACUGCACUACGCCAAGCAAGAUGUGCUGCUUGCUGUACAUAUAUAAGAACGAAAGCUAGUACUGAACAUAAUUGCAUUGUCACUUCUUUUGUACUAUCACUGAAACAGAUAGUAAAAUUUCUAUUCAGAUCAUCUACAGUCAGAUAGCAAAAAAAAUUGUACUGUGUAAGCCAGUACUGAAGAUAGCAAAUUUUCCUUCAGUUGGUCUACAGUCAAAUAGCAAAUCAGAUAGCAAAAAAAUUGUACUUUGUAAGCCAGCACUAAAUGAAAUUGCUUAAAAACACCUAGUAUUGGACAAAAUGAGUUGCUUACAAACAAGCAGUAACAAUGUAACAUACAAGUUUUUGAACUCCACAAACAUUUCUAAAUUAUUCAAUUUUCUGAACAUACAAAUAUGUCUGGACAUACUGGCACAUCUUUCUCAAUAGACUGAUACAUCUCUCUAAAUCUUUCCAAUUUCAUAUGAAUUUCUUCUACUUCUGUCGCGUGCCCAUCUCCACAUCUAUAGCCUUGUUCAUGCGAGCUUCAACUUGGAUUCGAGAUUCCUCCAACUGUUUCUUCUCUGUUUUCAGACAAUACAUAGUAUCACGCAAUUUAUUGAGCAGCGAAUUCAGAAAUGAAGUAUUUGGAUCAUCAUGCCACUCAAAGAACCUGCACUCCACACCCUGACAUUGCAUUGAACUCAGCAAACAUUGCAUUAAACCUGCAGUCCACAAACUAUGCCGGAGAUCAAGGUGUUGCUGUCGUCGUCGCUGGUGCGCCCAUGACCUCCACCAACACGAGCACGGAACUACAUGUCCACUGUGGCUGGACUGCACCACAGACACCCAGACUGAGCUCAAGGUGAGGCAUCUCGAAACAUAGGUAGUUGUCGUCGGGAUGAGAGGUGGUGGUAGCUCGGACUAGUAGCAGCCCCGUCAGGCGCGCGCCCAUGAGCGACAAAAGAG
This 38592-nucleotide long non-coding RNA is filed under the name Triticum aestivum (bread wheat). Its description in RNAcentral is "long non-coding RNA (TAES_LNC007166)". Lineage: Eukaryota; Viridiplantae; Streptophyta; Magnoliopsida; Poales; Poaceae. The record is from RNAcentral.